AUACGGAGGGUGCAAGCGUUACUCGGAAUCACUGGGCGUAAAGCGCGCGCAGGCGGUCUUUUAAGUUGGAUGUGAAAGCCUACGGCUCAACCGUAGAACUGCAUCCAAAACUAUUAGACUAGAGUGUGGGAGAGGAAGAUGGAAUUAGUUGUGUAGGGGUAAAAUCCGUAGAGAUAACUAGGAAUACCAAAAGCGAAGGCAAUCUUCUGGAACACUACUGACGCUGAGGCGCGAAAGCGUGGGGAACAAACAAGAUUAGAUACCCUAGUAGUCC
Molecule: ribosomal RNA, 274 nt
Filed under: uncultured bacterium
Lineage: Bacteria
Description: partial 16S ribosomal RNA
Rfam family: Bacterial small subunit ribosomal RNA
Source: RNAcentral